UUUUGUUUUCUUUUCAAAUAAUACAUCUUUUAAUUAUAUUUGUUUAUUAGAUAAAUUAUGUGAUUUUAAUGAUUUUCAUUUUAAGUAAUGAUUUUAAGUUACUUUUAAUUGCUUUUAGGAUUUAAAUAUUUAUAUAUAUUUAAAAGACAUCGUGUUUAGGAAUAAUGACUAUUCCUAAAGCCUUCCGCGUCCUCCACCGCUCGGCACCUAUUGUCCACCAUUAGGUCUUCCAAUCAAAAGAAGGCAGAUGUUAUUCGUCAUCCAUAUUUUGCCAUCGUCUCAUCACCGUUUAAUAUAUUUUCAAUUGUUGUUCGUCGAAUUCACAUCUUCUUGAAAGACUUGAAAGAGCACCGCCAUCAUCAUCUUCAUCGUUUCUCACACCAUUUUCUAUUUUCCGUCUGCUGAUUUCUUUGUUCAUAUCAUAACGGAGGACGAUACGGAGGAAGACAAACUUCACUUGAUGAACAAAUUCUCGAUUUGACGUCGUGCUCACUCCCAUCUGUUUCUAUAUAUGAUUAGGGUUGUAUGCCUUUUUUUCUACUCUCGUAUUCUUGUUUUUCGUUGUUACAGUUACCUUUUUGUGCAUUUGUUGAUAGUAGGGAGAUUGUUUGAAAGACAAAUAAAAAACUACAAGGGAUUCAAAAUAAAGUUCUCAACGGUUUGGCGAAUAUUAUUUCUUUUAGGGCCAUGAAUUUAAUAUAUUUUUCUUUUUUUCCAAUAAUACCAGUUUUAAUUAUAUCUGUUUGUUAGAUAAAUUGUGUGAGUUUAAUGAUUUUCAUAAAUUACGUGACAUUUUAAGUAAUUAUUUUCGGUUACUUUUAAUCGUUUUUGGGAUUUAAAUAUUUAUAUACAUAUUUAAAGGACAUGGCGUUUAGGAAUAGUGACUAUUUCAUUCACCUUCAGCGUCCUCCGCUGCUCGGUACCUAUUGUCCACCGUUGGGUCUUCCAGUUAGAAGAAGGCAGAUGUUAUUCACCGUCAAUCGUUUUCCUUCUUCUUAUCACCGUUUAAUAUCUUUUCAAUUGUUGUUCGUCGAAUUCUUGUCUUCUUGAAAGAGCACCGCCAUCAUAAUCUUCAUCGUUUCUCACACCAUUUUCUAUUUUUCGUCUGUUAAUUUUUUUGUUCAUAUCUCAACGGAGGAAGACAAAUUUCACUUGAUGAACAAAUUCUCGAUUUGACGUCGUGUUCACUCCCAUAUGUUUCUAUAUACAAUUAGUGUUGUACGCUUUUUUUUCAACUCUCGCAUUCCUAUUUUUCGUUGUUAUAGUUACCUUUUUGUGUUUUUUUGAUGUACAGGUCGUCGGAGAUGAUGAAGUGCAAAGUCUUGCGGUGAGUUCCAUUCCUUUUCACUCCCGCUACUACCACAACCUAUGAACUUAUUUGGGGCAAAAUACAGACAUUGCCACCGAUGGAGAAGAAGACCCGAAAAAACCAUGGCUCUGUCAAUUAAUACCUCUCAUCGUUCCCCCUUUUCUCUAUGAAAUGUUGGCUUCCACUUCUCCUGUCACCUUCAUCGUCGUCAUUUACCAACUGUAGAAAUCGGGUCUCAACCAACGAAAGCCCUAAACUCUGAUAGAUUUGUAAGGAGCGAUGACUGUACAUGCUCAAUCGAUAAUUUAUUUUUUUAGGUAAUUCUCACCACAAACCACUAUGCUUAGGUCUAUUGCUUUUUCAAUUAGCAGUUACUUCCACUACUGAAUGAAAGUAAUUAUUUUUCCAAAGUUUUGUCGUCUGCUUCAUUCAUCUCUGUCAUUCUCAAAUCUAAAGACAACGCCUGUGACCAGUUUCAGAAUGCGAAUGAUAUCCACGCACCUUUUAUAUGAACCAUUGUUCCAAAUUGAUUGAUUACACCAUCAACUGCUUUAAAAGAAGGGACACGUGAAAAGAUAGAUGAUGCUAUUUUCCUUGAUUCCUUUUGUUCAUUCCAUUGGUUUUGGUCUAGGUAAUGCAAUCUAAUAACGUUUAGUAUUGUAGUGGCUCUUUCAGGUUAUGAGUUUCAGACGGAUUUUUGCAUAAAGGUAUGGGCUAAUUGCUUGUAGGCCAAAUUGAGCAUUUUUUUCUUCAAAAAAUUAGGACAUUUGUUGAUAAUGAAUCAACUUUACUGUAGUAGACAUAUUGGUUGCAUGAAUGAGCUUACUGGAAAAGCUUUGAUAUGUGAUGAUCUAAAGCUUUUUGCUUUUAUUGUAUAUCGAUGAAAGUUGUCUAUAUAUCUUGAUUGCUUCUAAACUCA
Non-coding RNA from Lactuca sativa (garden lettuce), 2228 nucleotides. NCBI's taxonomy places the organism in Eukaryota, Viridiplantae, Streptophyta, Magnoliopsida, Asterales, Asteraceae. The record is from RefSeq and is a predicted model, not a curated record.